GUGCUCCAUUUGGCAGCACAUAUACUUAAAUUGGAAUGAUACAGAGAAGAUUAGCAUGGCCCCUGUGCAAGGAUGACACACAAAUUCGUAAAGCCUUCUAUUAUAUA
Molecule: small nuclear RNA, 107 nt
Filed under: Choloepus hoffmanni (Hoffmann's two-fingered sloth)
Lineage: Eukaryota; Metazoa; Chordata; Mammalia; Pilosa; Megalonychidae
Source: RNAcentral